This 497-nucleotide ribosomal RNA is filed under the name uncultured bacterium. RNAcentral describes it as "partial 16S ribosomal RNA". It matches the Rfam family "Bacterial small subunit ribosomal RNA", at positions 28 to 507 of the family's 1533-position model. The record is from RNAcentral.
GAUGAACGCUGGCGGCGUGCCUAAUACAUGCAAGUCGAGCGAACAGACGAGGAGCUUGCUCCUCUGACGUUAGCGGCGGACGGGUGAGUAACACGUGGAUAACCUACCUAUAAUACUGGGAUAACUUCGGGAAACCGGAGCUAAUACCGGAUAAUAUAUUGAACCGCAUGGUUCAAUAGUGAAAGACGGUUUUGCUGUCACUUAUAAAUGGAUCCGCGCCGCAUUAGCUAGUUGGUAAGGUAACGGCUUACCAAGGCAACGAUGCGUAGCCGACCUGAGAGGGUGAUCGCCCACCCCGGAACUGAGCCACGGUCCAGACUCCUACGGGAGGCAGCAGUAGGGAAUCUUCCGCAAUGGGCGAAAGCUUGACGGAGCAACGCCGCGUGAGUGAUGAAGGUCUUCGGAUCGUAAAACUCUGUUAUUAGGGAAGAACAAAUGUGUAAGUAACUAUGCACGUCUUGACGGUACCUAAUCAGAAAGCCACGGCUAACUACGUG